RNAcentral lists this unclassified non-coding RNA (231 nucleotides) under fungal sp. RNAcentral's name for it is "partial internal transcribed spacer region". The stretch from base 1 to 51 matches the Rfam family "Eukaryotic small subunit ribosomal RNA", at positions 1781 to 1831 of the family's 1831-position model. Lineage: Eukaryota; Fungi. The record is from RNAcentral.
ACUAAAAGUCGUAACAAGGUAACCGUAGGUGAACCUGCGGUUGGAUCAUUAACAAAAUGAUAAAAGCUCCUCUUGGAAACAAGGGGACUUUUAUAAACACCUGUGAACUGUUAUUUGUAUCUGGUGGGUGUCAAAGCCCACCAUCAAUAAUUUGAACUUUAAUAAUCUUGAACUAGUUUUUAAUUAAUAAUUAAUUCUAAACAACUUUUGACAACGGAUCUCUAGGCUCUC